GGUGGGGUCGCAUAGUGGCCUAGUGCGGCGGUCUUGAAAACCGCUAGGGGCGGAAGCUUCUCGUGGGUUCGAAUCCCACCCCCACCG
Molecule: transfer RNA, 87 nt
Filed under: Candidatus Daviesbacteria bacterium
Lineage: Bacteria; Candidatus Daviesiibacteriota
Description: tRNA-Ser
Rfam family: tRNA
About the family: Transfer RNA (tRNA) molecules are approximately 80 nucleotides in length. Their secondary structure includes four short double-helical elements and three loops (D, anti-codon, and T loops).
Source: RNAcentral